UUAAAAUUUGAAAGAAGAAAAUUACUUUUCUGCUGUGCUGAAGCGUGGGAGAAGGACCCUAAAGUCAAAUUCAAGAGUAGUUUCACUCGCAAGAUUCAACUCUAGUCUCAUCACAAGAAGCGAUAAAAAAAAGAAACGAUGAAAAAAAAAAAAAAAAAAAAAAUAAAAAUCUCUCCUUUGUCAAAAAGUGGACCAAACCCUCUCCUCCUCCAAAACUCGAUUCCCACGGGGCCCCCCUAUAACCCCACUUCCAUGGCUCCACGUCCUGAAUACGCAAUUGACCCAAUUAUUAAGGACUCUUCCUCUUUCUCCCU
This 314-nucleotide unclassified non-coding RNA is filed under the name Hevea brasiliensis (rubber tree). The record is from RNAcentral. Lineage: Eukaryota; Viridiplantae; Streptophyta; Magnoliopsida; Malpighiales; Euphorbiaceae.